CCAGACUCCUACGGGAGGCAGCAGUGGGGAAUAUUGCACAAUGGGGGAAACCCUGAUGCAGCAACGCCGCGUGAGUGAAGAAGUAUUUCGGUAUGUAAAGCUCUAUCAGCAGGGAAGAAGAUGACGGUACCUGACUAAGAAGCCCCGGCUAACUACGUGCCAGCAGCCGCGGUAAUACGUAGGGGGCAAGCGUUAUCCGGAUUUACUGGGUGUAAAGGGAGCGUAGACGGCAUGGCAAGCCAGAUGUGAAAGCCCAGGGCUCAACCCCGGGACUGCAUUUGAAACUGUCAGGCUGGAGUGCAGGAGAGGUAAGUGGAAUUCCUAGUGUAGCGGUGAAAUGCGUAGAUAUUAGGAGGAACACCAGUGGCGAAGGCGGCUUACUGGACUGUACCUGACGCUGAGGCGCGAAAGCGUGGGUAGCGAACGGGAUUAGAUACCCUUGUAA
This 445-nucleotide ribosomal RNA is filed under the name uncultured bacterium. RNAcentral's name for it is "bacterial SSU rRNA". It matches the Rfam family "Bacterial small subunit ribosomal RNA", at positions 331 to 793 of the family's 1533-position model. The record is from RNAcentral.